This 178-nucleotide ribosomal RNA is filed under the name basidiomycete sp. B1/1/1/3/A2. RNAcentral describes it as "5.8S ribosomal RNA". The stretch from base 60 to 178 matches the Rfam family "5.8S ribosomal RNA", at positions 1 to 119 of the family's 154-position model. From Rfam's summary of the family: 5.8S ribosomal RNA (5.8S rRNA) is a component of the large subunit of the eukaryotic ribosome. It is transcribed by RNA polymerase I as part of the 45S precursor that also contains 18S and 28S rRNA. Lineage: Eukaryota; Fungi; Basidiomycota. The record is from RNAcentral.
UUUAUUACAAACGAUUCAGUUUUAGAAUGUCAUACUUUGCUAUAACGCAAUUUAUAUACAACUUUCAGCAACGGAUCUCUUGGCUCUCGCAUCGAUGAAGAACGCAGCGAAAUGCGAUAAGUAAUGUGAAUUGCAGAAUUCAGUGAAUCAUCGAAUCUUUGAACGCACCUUGCGCUCC